UAAGUGACUAAGCGUACACGGUGGAUGCCUGGGCAGUCAGAGGCGAUGAAGGACGUACUAACUUGCGAUAAGCGCAGAUGAGGCAGUAAGAGCCGUUUGAGUCUGCGAUUUCCGAAUGGGGAAACCCAACUGCAUAAGCAGUUACUGUUAACUGAAUACAUAGGUUAACAGAGCAAACCGGGGGAACUGAAACAUCUAAGUACCCCGAGGAGAAGAAAUCAACCGAGAUUCCGGUAGUAGCGGCGAGCGAACCUGGAUUAGCCCUUAAGCACUCGGUGAAGUAGGUGAACAAGCUGGAAAGCUUGGCGAUACAGGGUGAUAGCCCCGUAACCGACGCUUCAUCGAGCGUGAAAUCGAGUAGGGCGGGACACGUGAUAUCCUGUCUGAAUAUGGGGGGACCAUCCUCCAAGGCUAAAUACUCCUGACUGACCGAUAGUGAACCAGUACCGUGAGGGAAAGGCGAAAAGAACCCCUGUGAGGGGAGUGAAAUAGAACCUGAAACCGUGUACGUACAAGCAGUAGGAGCACCUUCGUGGUGUGACUGCGUACCUUUUGUAUAAUGGGUCAGCGACUUAUAUUCAGUGGCAAGGUUAACCGUAUAGGGGAGCCCUAGCGAAAGCGAGUCUUAACUGGGCGCUCAGUCUCUGGAUAUAGACCCGAAACCGGGUGAUCUAGCCAUGGGCAGGUUGAAGGUUGAGUAACAUCAACUGGAGGACCGAACCGACUAAUGUUGAAAAAUUAGCGGAUGACUUGUGGCUAGGGGUGAAAGGCCAAUCAAACUCGGAGAUAGCUGGUUCUCCCCGAAAGCUAUUUAGGUAGCGCCUCGGACGAAUACUACUGGGGGUAGAGCACUGUUAAGGCUAGGGGGUCAUCCCGACUUACCAACCCUUUGCAAACUCCGAAUACCAGUAAGUACUAUCCGGGAGACACACGGCGGGUGCUAACGUCCGUCGUGGAGAGGGAAACAACCCAGACCGCCAGCUAAGGUCCCAAAGUACUUGCUAAGUGGGAAACGAUGUGGGAAGGCUCAGACAGCUAGGAUGUUGGCUUAGAAGCAGCCAUCAUUUAAAGAAAGCGUAAUAGCUCACUAGUCGAGUCGGCCUGCGCGGAAGAUGUAACGGGGCUAAGCAAUACACCGAAGCUGCGGCAAUAUCUUUUAGAUAUUGGGUAGGGGAGCGUUCUGUAAGCCGUUGAAGGUGAAUCGUAAGGUUUGCUGGAGGUAUCAGAAGUGCGAAUGCUGACAUGAGUAACGACAAAGGGGGUGAAAAACCUCCUCGCCGGAAGACCAAGGGUUCCUGUCCAACGUUAAUCGGGGCAGGGUGAGUCGACCCCUAAGGUGAGGCCGAAAGGCGUAAUCGAUGGGAAACGGGUUAAUAUUCCCGUACUUCUGACUAUUGCGAUGGGGGGACGGAGAAGGCUAGGUGGGCCAGGCGACGGUUGUCCUGGUUCAAGUGCGUAGGCUUGAGAGUUAGGUAAAUCCGGCUCUCUCUAAGGCUGAGACACGACGUCGAGCUGCUACGGCAGUGAAGUCAUUGAUGCCAUGCUUCCAGGAAAAGCCUCUAAGCUUCAGAUAGUCAGGAAUCGUACCCCAAACCGACACAGGUGGUCGGGUAGAGAAUACCAAGGCGCUUGAGAGAACUCGGGUGAAGGAACUAGGCAAAAUGGUACCGUAACUUCGGGAGAAGGUACGCUCUUGAUGGUGAAGUCCCUCGCGGAUGGAGCUGACGAGAGUCGCAGAUACCAGGUGGCUGCAACUGUUUAUUAAAAACACAGCACUGUGCAAAAUCGCAAGAUGACGUAUACGGUGUGACGCCUGCCCGGUGCCGGAAGGUUAAUUGAUGGGGUUAGCGCAAGCGAAGCUCUUGAUCGAAGCCCCGGUAAACGGCGGCCGUAACUAUAACGGUCCUAAGGUAGCGAAAUUCCUUGUCGGGUAAGUUCCGACCUGCACGAAUGGCGUAAUGAUGGCCACGCUGUCUCCACCCGAGACUCAGUGAAAUUGAAAUCGCUGUGAAGAUGCAGUGUACCCGCGGCUAGACGGAAAGACCCCGUGAACCUUUACUACAGCUUGGCACUGAACAUUGAACCUACAUGUGUAGGAUAGGUGGGAGGCUUUGAAGACGUGACGCCAGUUGCGUUGGAGCCGUCCUUGAAAUACCACCCUUGUAUGUUUGAUGUUCUAACUUAGACCCAUUAUCUGGGUUGAGGACAGUGCCUGGUGGGUAGUUUGACUGGGGCGGUCUCCUCCCAAAGAGUAACGGAGGAGCACGAAGGUGGGCUAAUCACGGUUGGACAUCGUGAGGUUAGUGCAAUGGCAUAAGCCCGCUUAACUGCGAGAAUGACGGUUCGAGCAGGUGCGAAAGCAGGUCAUAGUGAUCCGGUGGUUCUGUAUGGAAGGGCCAUCGCUCAACGGAUAAAAGGUACUCCGGGGAUAACAGGCUGAUACCGCCCAAGAGUUCAUAUCGACGGCGGUGUUUGGCACCUCGAUGUCGGCUCAUCACAUCCUGGGGCUGAAGUCGGUCCCAAGGGUAUGGCUGUUCGCCAUUUAAAGUGGUACGCGAGCUGGGUUUAGAACGUCGUGAGACAGUUCGGUCCCUAUCUGCCGUGGGCGUUGGAAGAUUGAAGGGGGCUGCUCCUAGUACGAGAGGACCGGAGUGGACGAACCUCUGGUGUUCGGGUUGUGUCGCCAGACGCAUUGCCCGGUAGCUAAGUUCGGAAUUGAUAAGCGCUGAAAGCAUCUAAGCGCGAAGCGAGCCCUGAGAUGAGUCUUCCCUGAUACUUUAAGUAUCCUAAAGGGUUGUUCGAGACUAGAACGUUGAUAGGCAGGGUGUGUAAGCGUUGUGAGGCGUUGAGCUAACCUGUACUAAUUGCCCGUGAGGCUUAACCA
Molecule: ribosomal RNA, 2884 nt
Filed under: Vibrio cholerae HC-46B1
Lineage: Bacteria; Pseudomonadati; Pseudomonadota; Gammaproteobacteria; Vibrionales; Vibrionaceae
Description: bacterial LSU rRNA
Rfam family: Bacterial large subunit ribosomal RNA
Source: RNAcentral